Molecule: long non-coding RNA, 1234 nt
Filed under: Nicotiana benthamiana
Lineage: Eukaryota; Viridiplantae; Streptophyta; Magnoliopsida; Solanales; Solanaceae
Description: long non-coding RNA (NBEN_LNC027790)
Source: RNAcentral
GAACUCUAGAAUCUCUCUAAUUAUAGACAUUCACCUUAAAUAGGAGAUUUCAUAACAAAACCUUAACCUUUUUUUAAUCCAAUAUCAAUGUUUAAAACUCACAAACACAUCAAUAAUGACACCUGUAUUUUAUUGACAAAAGAAAGAAACAAAAAACUAUAUAAAGAAAUAAAAAGGACAAGGAAUGAAACAUAAUUGAUUAUCUGAUUUCUUUUAAUUAGAAAUAGUAAUCAAAUGACCUAAACAUGAAUGAUCAAUUCCUUGUAACACAAAUUCACUCACCUUGAUCCAAAUAAUUGGGAUUUCCAACAUUAAAAUAAGGACUAACAUGAUGUCCAAGACGAAAUAUUUUAAUUCUCAAAAUAGUAAUAGACUUUUCAUUAUUCAUUGUAUAUCAGAAUGCAAAGUAUGUUUCACUGAUGAGUUUUUUAACUAAACAUAAAUAUUUAUAACUAUUGGAAGAAUUAAAAUCGAUCUUAUAUCUAUUUAAACUAAACUAUGUCCUCAUGAUAGUCGAAUUUGUCACUAUAGUUUCUUAGCAAGGUAAAAUAAUCAUAUACAACUUAAAGAAAUAUUAACAGAAAACUCUUUGAAUUCCUCAACCGGGAUACCAUUAGACUAAUGAAACCUCUCAAACACAUUAGUGUCUAGACCAAACAUAGAACCUAAAUACAAAUGUUGUCUUAGUUUAGAAGAAAAUCUAGAACACUUGCAGUGAAAAACAUAAAACUAAAACUUAUUCUAAUACAUAUUUCAUCAUCCAACAAUUUAACUUCGAUAACUAACUAGAAAAUUUGAAUCAGAAUGCAUUAGCUGAUCCAAAUAGCCAUUUUAAAUCAAUUUUCUAUUCAAAGAACCAUGUAUUCAAUCAAAAUAUAUUCUUAUCACAUCAUCACCACAACUUUAUGCAACUAGAAAAUAAAUUACGAAGUUGACAAAUGCAUAGUUUGCAGAAGUAGAAAGAAAUGCAGUCGAGUGACAGAAUGACAAGCAAUUUUAGUUAAAGCGAACUAGCAACAACAGUAAAUCGUCAGCAGUAAAAUCAACACCAAAAGUGAACUCAAAAGCUAAUCCAGAGAAUUAGCAAUAUGUUUUAGACCAAAAAACAAACAAAAGAAACCAAGACUCUUGAUGUUUUUCUUGCCUAAAACUUAUUGUGUGCUGAACAUUUAGUAAAAUGCUCUCUAAUUCUUUCUCCCUUUUAUGUGUAGAUGUGUGUUAAAAUUGAUUUUUU